UACAGAGGGUGCGAGCGUUAAUCGGAAUUACUGGGCGUAAAGCGCGUGUAGGCGGUUUGCCAAGUCGGGUGUGAAAGCCUUGGGCUUAACCCAAGAAAUGCACUCGGUACUGGCAGACUAGAGGACCGGAGAGGAUAGUGGAAUUCCCAGUGUAGUGGUGAAAUACGUAGAGAUUGGGAAGAACACCAGUGGCGAAGGCGGCUAUCUGGACGGUUUCUGACGCUAAGACGCGAAAGCGUGGGGAGCAAACAGG
Molecule: ribosomal RNA, 253 nt
Filed under: uncultured bacterium
Lineage: Bacteria
Description: partial 16S ribosomal RNA
Rfam family: Bacterial small subunit ribosomal RNA
Source: RNAcentral